CAGCAGCCGCGGGAAUACGAAGGGGGCUAGCGUUGCUCGGAAUUACAGGGCGUAAAGCGCACGCAGGCGGCUCGAUAAAUUAGAAGUGAAAGCCUUGGGCUUAACCUGAGAAUUGCUUUUAAGACUGUCGAGCUAGAAUCCAGAAGAGGGUAGUGGAAUUCCGAGUGUAGAGGUGAAAUUCGUAGAUAUUCGGAAGAACACCAGUGGCGAAGGCGACUACCUGGUCUGGCAUUGACGUUCAUGUGCGAAAGCGUGGGGAGCAAACAGGAUUAGAUACCCCCGUAGUCCCUGUCUCUUAUAC
RNAcentral lists this ribosomal RNA (301 nucleotides) under uncultured bacterium. RNAcentral's name for it is "partial 16S ribosomal RNA". It matches the Rfam family "Bacterial small subunit ribosomal RNA", at positions 509 to 807 of the family's 1533-position model. The record is from RNAcentral.